This is a non-coding RNA of Paramormyrops kingsleyae, 162 nucleotides long. The record is from RefSeq and is a predicted model, not a curated record. NCBI's taxonomy places the organism in Eukaryota, Metazoa, Chordata, Actinopteri, Osteoglossiformes, Mormyridae.
AUACUUACUUGGCAUCAGAGAUACCCUGAUCAUGCAUAUGGCAGCCCAGGGCGUGGUUCAGCCACUGCACCACAGCUGUGCAGCUCGCAGUGAACUUCCUAGGUGAUGGGAUUUUGACUGAUUAAUUUCUGGUAGGGGGGGAGCUGUGUCCACGUUCUUCCA